GACCCAGAUGGGAUCUCUGGGACACCCUGCCUGCUCUACAAUUGGGAUCCCUGGAGAAGUGACAGAAUCUGGCAACAGGGGCCUGCUCUGUCGCCCAGGCUGGAGUGCAGUGGCACAAACACAGCUGACUGCAGCCUUGACCUCCCAGGCUCAUGCAACCCUCCCAUCUUGGCCUCCCAAGAAACUGGGACCACAGGCACGUGCCAUCACACCUGGCCAAUUUUUCAAUUUUUUUGUAGAGAUGGGGUCCCCUGUGUUGCUCAGGCUGGUCUCAAACUCCUGGGCUCAAGUGAUCCUCCUGUCUUGGUUUCCCAAAGUGCUGGGAUUACAGGUAUGAGCUACUGCGCCCGGCCCAAUAAAAAAAUAUUGUUCUGUGAAAGAAAUGUUU
RNAcentral lists this non-coding RNA (388 nucleotides) under Pongo abelii (Sumatran orangutan). The record is from RNAcentral. Lineage: Eukaryota; Metazoa; Chordata; Mammalia; Primates; Hominidae.